UGAACGCUGGCGGAAUGCUUUACACAUGCAAGUCGAACGGCAGCACGGGAGCGUGCUCCGGGUGGCGAGUGACGAACGGGCGAGUAAUGCGUCGGAACGUACCGAGUAAUGAGGCCCAACGCAGCGAAAGCUGUGCUAAUACCGCAUACGCCCUGAGGGGGAAAGUGGGGGAUCGCAAGACCUCACGUUAUUCGAGCGGCCGACGUCUGAUUAGCUAGUUGGUGGGGUAAAGGCCUACCAAGGCGACGAUCAGUAGCGGGUCUGAGAGGAUGAUCCGCCACACUGGAACUGAGACACGGUCCAGACUCCUACGGGAGGCAGCAGUGGGGAAUUUUGGACAAUGGGGGCAACCCUGAUCCAGCCAUUCCGCGUGAGUGAAGAAGGCCUUCGGGUUGUAAAGCU
RNAcentral lists this ribosomal RNA (402 nucleotides) under uncultured bacterium. RNAcentral's name for it is "bacterial SSU rRNA". It matches the Rfam family "Bacterial small subunit ribosomal RNA", at positions 30 to 432 of the family's 1533-position model. The record is from RNAcentral.